Molecule: ribosomal RNA, 454 nt
Filed under: uncultured organism
Description: partial 16S ribosomal RNA
Rfam family: Bacterial small subunit ribosomal RNA
Source: RNAcentral
CGUACACUCCUGCGGGAGGCAGCAGUGGGGAAUAUUGGACAAUGGGCGCAAGCCUGAUCCAGCCAUGCCGCGUGAGUGAUGAAGGCCCUAGGGUUGUAAAGCUCUUUCACCGGUGAAGAUAAUGACGGUAACCGGAGAAGAAGCCCCGGCUAACUUCGUGCCAGCAGCCGCGGUAAUACGAAGGGGGCUAGCGUUGUUCGGAUUUACUGGGCGUAAAGCGCACGUAGGCGGACUAUUAAGUCAGGGGUGAAAUCCCGGGGCUCAACCCCGGAACUGCCUUUGAUACUGGUAGUCUUGAGUUCGAGAGAGGUGAGUGGAAUUCCGAGUGUAGAGGUGAAAUUCGUAGAUAUUCGGAGGAACACCAGUGGCGAAGGCGGCUCACUGGCUCGAUACUGACGCUGAGGUGCGAAAGCGUGGGGAGCAAACAGGAUUAGAAACCCGUGUAGUCCCAUGA